RNAcentral lists this ribosomal RNA (493 nucleotides) under uncultured bacterium. RNAcentral's name for it is "bacterial SSU rRNA". It matches the Rfam family "Bacterial small subunit ribosomal RNA", at positions 15 to 507 of the family's 1533-position model. The record is from RNAcentral.
GAUCAUGGCUCAGGAUGAACGCUGGCGGCGUGCUUAACACAUGCAAGUCGAACGAAGCACUUAAUGAGAUUUCUUCGGAUUGAUAUUUUGUGACUGAGUGGCGGACGGGUGAGUAACGCGUGGGUAACCCUGCCCCCAGACCGGGGGAUAACAGUCGGAAACGACUGCUAAUACCGCAUAAGCGCACAGUGCCGCAUGGCACGGUGUGAAAAACUCCGGUGGUCUGGGAUGGACCCGCGUCCGAUUAGUUAGUUGGUGGGGUAACGGCCCACCAAGACUGCGAUCGGUAGCCGACCUGAGAGGGUGACCGGCCACAUUGGGACUGAGACACGGCCCAGACUCCUACGGGAGGCAGCAGUGGGGAAUAUUGCACAAUGGAGGAAACUCUGAUGCAGCGACGCCGCGUGAGCGAAGAAGUAUUUCGGUAUGUAAAGCUCUGUCAGCAGGGAAGAUGAUGACGGUACCUGACCAAGAAGCCCCGGCUAACUACGUG